Molecule: long non-coding RNA, 307 nt
Organism: Ruditapes philippinarum (Manila clam)
Lineage: Eukaryota; Metazoa; Mollusca; Bivalvia; Venerida; Veneridae
Exons: 3
Source: RefSeq, a predicted model, not a curated record
GGACAUAGCUGUGUGUGAGUGUUUGGAAGCAGAGAAGUCAACAAACAUUCUUAUAAAGGACCUUGGGGUUUCUGUUCUUCCAGAGGCUUCUCCUAUGAAAGAGGAAUUGAUAAUACCAAGCGACACUAAAGACAUAAGUUGGGCAGAUGAUACAAUGAGUCCACAAUCUUCGCAGGAGAAAGUUGUUAAGAGAAGAAAACAUAGAUUUGUUAUCCAUGGACAUAAGCUGGGUAAUACUUCAUGUAAGAAGAGUUUGUUGAAAAGGUUCCCUUGUAAAACCCGCUUUGGCAUGUCUUGUGCAGUUGAU